GCAGCAGCAGGAAGCAGAAUAUUUAUACAUUUAUUUAUAAUGAAAGUAUGGUUCUAAUUAUUUACAAGACAUGGGAAAGCUGAGGUUUGUACAGGUGAGGCUGUCCUGGCUGCAGCAGUGACACAGCCCCUUCUGAAAAGCACAGCUCCUGUCCCAAAAGCUGCCUUGGAGCACCCCUGGUGCAGUUCUUGUCCAAAACAGUCCAAAAUCAAGUCAAAAAACUCAUUUUCAGGUCUGCACAUGAGGCAGGAGCUGCUGGACCCAAAUGCUGCCCUUUGGGAAACCACCCUGCAACCUUCUGGCUCUGGUGGAAUCCAUGAAUGAGGGAAGAUAUAAAGAUGAGUCUCUGAAAAAGGAAUUCCUGCUGGGUGGGAAUGAGUCCUGGGGUGAGCAGAAACAAUUCUGUACCAGGGUUACAGUGCCAAAGUCCAGCUGGGGUAAAGUGAACCUUCCAAAAAUCCAAAAACCUGAGCAUCCCCCCACCCCAACAUCUGGCUGGAACAAAAACUUGUGGGAUUGGUAAAGUCACAUUUCAAAACAAAACCAAGCUGAGUUACAGGAGAUGUUUGAAAUAAAAACAACCAAACGUGAUGCUCAAGUUUUUCACAACUUCUGGAUGUUCCUUCCCUCUGGUGAAAGUCCAAAAUUGAGGCUGAGUCACCAGUAGAUCACUGGGGCUGACAGCAGGAGCACUCAAAAAAUGCAAAUGCAGAGUGAAGUCAGUGUCACUGACUCUUCCCUUUAAAUUAUUUGGGAAAAACAAAAAUAUGGCCCAAGAGGCUUCCCUGGUUCCUCUUUACAGCACUUCUCCCUUGCACAAGGGACUAACCCCAUCAGGAUGCUAUUCCAAAUAUUCCUUUUUAAAAUUGACAAACACACUGCCAAAAUGAGGAUUUUUUUUUUUUUAAAAAACAAUGGAGCCCUUCCAAGGGGAAAUUGGCUUCUGCAAAUGUAAAAACAACACAUCUUUGCCAAGUUCAGUUCUGGAAUAUACAUGCAUUAUUGCUAGAGGGGGAAAAAACCAGAUGAAUGAAAACUUCUUGUGCAGUUUUUAUGGUGCCAUCCAGAAAGGCAUCUGUUGUUUAGCUCUCUGUUGUGAGGAUGGGUAUUGGUACCCCAAACUCCAGCCCUGUGAAAAAGUACUUGCAUUUUUAUGGCCACCAUGUUCCUCCUCUUCAUCUGAUGAAUCUCCAGCAUAAGCCACCAAUCCAAAGCCCUUCUCUGCAGUUUUCAUCUUCUUGGCUUGAUGAUCUAGGAGGGGAAAAACAAAACAAGCCCCACCCAGGCCCCAAAGAAGGAAAAAAAAAUAAAAACAAAACGAACAACAACAACAACAAAAAAAAAAGAGAUAAAAUACCCCAAAACGAGUUAAUAACAAUAAUAAUAAUAAUAAAAAAAAAAAGAUGUUAAUUGUAAAUUGUUAGUUGGACACCAUUUUGAGGUCACAAGGUCAUCCAAGGUCGAUGGUCACAGGAAACAGCAGCAGCAACAGCCAUGUGAUCCACCAGAACCAUGUAAGAGAACAGAGAAACAAGAAAGAAACACACAGAAAAGGUCAAGUUAGCAAAUGGCUCUCAGCCAGGGCAAUUUCACCCUUAAAGAGAUCAACAAAGAAAAGUAGAAAUUUGCUUCAAAAGGCAGCUAACAGCAGAGCAAUGGCUGGGAGCAAAGACUGCAGAAGAACUAGGGUUAACCAGGCUGAGUUCCAUAAUUGCAUUUCUGAGCAAAUUCAAACCUUUGCUGAGCCCCAGGAAAGGUGAAAUCCUGAAUUUCUGAGCCCCAGGAAAGGUGAAAUCCUGAAUUUCUGAGCCCCAGGAAAGGUGAAAUCCUGCAUUUCUGAGCAAAUUCAUCCCAGGAAAGGAGAAAUCAUGCAUUUCUGAGCCCCAAGAAUGGUGAAAUCCUGAAAUUCUGAGCCCCAGGAAAGGUGAAAUCCUGCAUUUCUGAGCAAAUUCAUCCCAGGAAAGGUGAAAUCCUGCAUUUCUGAUUAAAUUCAAACCUUUGCUGAGCCCCAGGAAAGGUGAAAUCCUGCAUUUCUGAGCCCCAAGAAUGGUGAAAUCCUGAAUUUCUGAGCAAAUUCAUCCCUGGAAAGGUGAAAUCCUGAAUUUCUGAGCCCCAUGAAAGAUGAAAUCCUGCAUUUCUGAGCCCCAAGAAUGGUGAAAUCCUGAAUUUCUGAGCCCCAGGAAAGGUGAAAUCCUGAAUUUCUAAGCCCCAGGAAAGGUGAAAUCCUGCAUUUCUGAGCAAAUUCAUCCCAGGAAAGGUGAAAUCCUGCAUUUCUGAGCAAAUUCACCCCAGGAAAGGUGAAAUCCUGAAAUUCUGAGCCCCAGGAAAGGUGAAAUCCUGCAUUUCUGAGCCCCAGGAAAGGUGAAAUCCUGAAUUUCUGAGCAAAUUCACCCCAGGAAAGGUGAAAUCCUGAAUUUCUGAGCAAAUUCAUCCCAGGAAAGGUGAAAUCCUGCAUUUCUGAGCCCCAGGAAAGGUGAAAUCCUGCAUUUCUGAGCAAAUUCAUCCCAGGAAAGGUGAAAUCCUGCAUUUCUGAUUAAAUUCAAACCUUUGCUGAGCCCCAGGAAAGGUGAAAUCCUGCAUUUCUGAGCCCCAAGAAUGGUGAAAUCCUGAAUUUCUGAGCCCCAGGAAAGGUGAAAUCCUGCAUUUCUGAGCAAAUUCAUCCCAGGAAAGGAGAAAUCCUGCAUUUCUGAUUAAAUUCAAACCCUUGCUGAGCCCCAGGAAAGGUGAAAUCCUGCAUUUCUGAGCCCCAAGAAUGGAGAAAUCCUGCAUUUCUGAGCAAAUUCAAACCCUUGCUGAGCCCUAGGAAAGGAGAAAUCCUGCUUUGUACUUCAACACAGAACAACCAAAAAAAAAAAAAUAUUCACCUGUUAAAACCAGCACCAGCUCAUUUGGGAAAGGGAACUGGAUUUUAGGAAUGUUUGGGGAAAGAAAAUUGGAUUUACAGAAGUGUUUGGGAAAAGAAAAUGGAUUUACAGGGGUGUUUGGGAAAAGAAAAUGGAUUUACAGGGUAGUUUGGGGAAAGAAACUGGAUUUUAGGGAUGUUUGGGA
Oenanthe melanoleuca is the source of this 3048-nucleotide long non-coding RNA. RefSeq lists it as uncharacterized. The record is from RefSeq and is a predicted model, not a curated record. NCBI's taxonomy places the organism in Eukaryota, Metazoa, Chordata, Aves, Passeriformes, Muscicapidae. The transcript is spliced from 6 exons.